RNAcentral lists this ribosomal RNA (468 nucleotides) under uncultured bacterium. RNAcentral describes it as "partial 16S ribosomal RNA". It matches the Rfam family "Bacterial small subunit ribosomal RNA", at positions 28 to 507 of the family's 1533-position model. The record is from RNAcentral.
GACGAACGCUGGCGGCGUGCUUAACACAUGCAAGUCGAACGGAAAGGCCCUGCUUUUGUGGGGUGCUCGAGUGGCGAACGGGUGAGUAACACGUGAGUAACCUGCCCUUGACUUUGGGAUAACUUCAGGAAACUGGGGCUAAUACCGGAUAGGAGCUCCUGCUGCAUGGUGGGGGUUGGAAAGUUUCGGCGGUUGGGGAUGGACUCGCGGCUUAUCAGCUUGUUGGUGGGGUAGUGGCUUACCAAGGCUUUGACGGGUAGCCGGCCUGAGAGGGUGACCGGCCAAAUUGGGACUGGGGUACGGCCCAGACUCCUACGGGAGGCAGCAGUGGGGAAUAUUGCACAAUGGGCGGAAGCCUGAUGCAGCAACGCCGCGUGCGGGAUGACGGCCUUCGGGUUGUAAACCGCUUUCGCCUGUGACGAAGCGUGAGUGACGGUAAUGGGUAAAGAAGCACCGGCUAACUACGUG